RNAcentral lists this ribosomal RNA (456 nucleotides) under uncultured Geobacillus sp. RNAcentral's name for it is "bacterial SSU rRNA". It matches the Rfam family "Bacterial small subunit ribosomal RNA", at positions 927 to 1382 of the family's 1533-position model. Lineage: Bacteria; Bacillati; Bacillota; Bacilli; Caryophanales; Anoxybacillaceae. The record is from RNAcentral.
AAGCGGUGGAGCAUGUGGUUAUCGAAGCAACGCGAAGAACCUUACCAGGCCUUGACAUGCUAGGGAACCCGGGUGAAAGCCUGGGGUGCCCCGCGAGGGGAGCCCUAGCACAGGUGCUGCAUGGCCGUCGUCAGCUCGUGCCGUGAGGUGUUGGGUUAAGUCCCGCAACGAGCGCAACCCUCGCCUCUAGUUGCCAGCAUUCGGUUGGGCACUCUAGAGGGACUGCCGGCGACAAGUCGGAGGAAGGUGGGGAUGACGUCAAAUCAUCAUGCCCCUUAUGACCUGGGCUACACACGUGCUACAAUGGGCGGUACAAAGGGCUGCGAACCCGCGAGGGGGAGCGAAUCCCAAAAAGCCGCUCUCAGUUCGGAUUGCAGGCUGCAACUCGCCUGCAUGAAGCCGGAAUCGCUAGUAAUCGCGGAUCAGCAUGCCGCGGUGAAUACGUUCCCGGGCCUU